AUUGAACGCUGGCGGCAUGCCUUACACAUGCAAGUCGAGCGGUAACAGGUUAAGCUGACGCGUGGCGCACGGGUGAGUGAUGUAUCGGAACGUGCCCAGUCGCGUGGGAUAACUGCUCGAAAGAGCAGCUAAUACCGCAUACGACCCGAGGGUGAAUGCGGGGGCGCGCAAGACCUCGCUCGAUUGGAGCGGUCGUUAUCGGAUUAGGUAGUUGGUGAGGUAAAGGCUUACCAAGCCGACGAUCGGUAGCCGAUCUGAGAGGACGACCAGCCACACUGGGACUGAGACACGGCCCAGACUCCUACGGGAGGCAGCAGUGGGGAAUUUUGGGCAAUGGGCGAAAGCCUGAUCCAGCCAUGCCGCGUGCGUGAAGAAGGCCUUCGGGUUGUAAAACGCUUUUGUCAGGGAAGAAAAGGUUCUGGCUAAUACCUGGAACUCAUGACGGUACCUGAAGAGUAAGCACCGGCUAACUACGUG
RNAcentral lists this ribosomal RNA (477 nucleotides) under uncultured bacterium. RNAcentral's name for it is "partial 16S ribosomal RNA". It matches the Rfam family "Bacterial small subunit ribosomal RNA", at positions 30 to 507 of the family's 1533-position model. The record is from RNAcentral.